AACGAACGCUGGCGGCGCGCCUAAUACAUGCAAGUCGAGCGAGAAGACGUAGCAAUACGUUUGUAAAGCGGCGAACGGGUGAGGAAUACAUGGGUAACCUACCCUCGAGUGGGGAAGUAACUAGCCGAAACGGUUAGCUAAUACCGCGUACGCUCCUUGGACUUCGGUUCAGGGAGGAAAGCGAUACCGUGGGUAUCGCGCUCUUGGAUGGGCGUCAUGUCCUAUCAGCUUGUUGGUGAGGAACGGCUCACCAAGGCUUCGACGGGUAGCUGGUCUGAGAGGA
RNAcentral lists this ribosomal RNA (283 nucleotides) under uncultured bacterium. RNAcentral's name for it is "partial 16S ribosomal RNA". It matches the Rfam family "Bacterial small subunit ribosomal RNA", at positions 29 to 300 of the family's 1533-position model. The record is from RNAcentral.